GCGUAAUAGCUCACUGGUCGAGUCGGCCUGCGCGGAAGAUGUAACGGGGCUAAACCAUGCACCGAAGCUGCGGCAGCGACACUAUGUGUUGUUGGGUAGGGGAGCGUUCUGUAAGCCUGCGAAGGUGUGCUGUGAGGCAUGCUGGAGGUAUCAGAAGUGCGAAUGCUGACAUAAGUAACGAUAAAGCGGGUGAAAAGCCCGCUCGCCGGAAGACCAAGGGUUCCUGUCCAACGUUAAUCGGGGCAGGGUGAGUCGACCCCUAAGGCGAGGCCGAAAGGCGUAGUCGAUGGGAAACAGGUUAAUAUUCCUGUACUUGGUGUUACUGCGAAGGGGGGACGGAGAAGGCUAUGUUAGCCGGGCGACGGUUGUCCCGGUUUAAGCAUGUAGGCUGGUUGUCCAGGCAAAUCCGGAUAAUCAAGGCUGAGGUGUGAUGACGAGGCACUACGGUGCUGAAGUAACAAAUGCCCUGCUUCCAGGAAAAGCCUCUAAGCAUCAGGUAACAUCAAAUCGUACCCCAAACCGACACAGGUGGUCAGGUAGAGAAUACCAAGGCGCUUGAGAGAACUCGGGUGAAGGAACUAGGCAAAAUGGUGCCGUAACUUCGGGAGAAGGCACGCUGGUGUGUAGGUGA
RNAcentral lists this ribosomal RNA (631 nucleotides) under Klebsiella pneumoniae. RNAcentral's name for it is "partial 23S ribosomal RNA". It matches the Rfam family "Bacterial large subunit ribosomal RNA", at positions 1132 to 1765 of the family's 2925-position model. Lineage: Bacteria; Pseudomonadati; Pseudomonadota; Gammaproteobacteria; Enterobacterales; Enterobacteriaceae. The record is from RNAcentral.